GAAUCUUGCGCAAUGGGCGAAAGCCUGACGCAGCGACGCCGCGUGAGUGAUGAAGGCCCUCGGGUUGUAAAGCUCUGUGGGGAGAGAAGAAUAAGUGCGGGCUAACACCCCGCAUGAUGACGGUAUCUCCUUAGCAAGCACCGGCCAACUCUGUGCCCGCCGCCGCGGUAAGACAGAGGGUGCAAACGUUGUUCGGAAUUACUGGGCGUAAAGCGCGUGUAGGCGGCAGGGCAUGUCGGAUGUGAAAUCCCAUGGCUCAACCAUGGAAGUGCACCCGAAACUGCCCAGCUAGAGUCUCGGAGAGGAAGGCGGAAUGCUUGGUGUAGAGGUGAAAUUCGUAGAUAUCAAGCAGAACACCGGUGGCGAAGGCGGCCUUCUGGACGAUGACUGACGCUGAGAUGCGAAAGCGUGGGGAGCAAACAGG
RNAcentral lists this ribosomal RNA (424 nucleotides) under uncultured bacterium. RNAcentral's name for it is "bacterial SSU rRNA". It matches the Rfam family "Bacterial small subunit ribosomal RNA", at positions 359 to 776 of the family's 1533-position model. The record is from RNAcentral.